This is a transfer RNA of Eubacterium sp. 14-2, 73 nucleotides long. It matches the Rfam family "tRNA". From Rfam's summary of the family: Transfer RNA (tRNA) molecules are approximately 80 nucleotides in length. Their secondary structure includes four short double-helical elements and three loops (D, anti-codon, and T loops). The record is from Rfam. Lineage: Bacteria; Bacillati; Bacillota; Clostridia; Eubacteriales; Eubacteriaceae.
GGGGGCGUAGCUCAGCUGGGAGAGCACCUGCCUUGCAAGCAGGGGGUCAAGAGUUCGAAUCUCUCCGUCUCCA